GCGACCCCAGGUCAGGCGGGNCUACCCGCUGAAUUUAAGCAUAUAAAUAAG
RNAcentral lists this ribosomal RNA (51 nucleotides) under Agrostis gelida. Its description in RNAcentral is "partial 26S ribosomal RNA". The record is from RNAcentral. Lineage: Eukaryota; Viridiplantae; Streptophyta; Magnoliopsida; Poales; Poaceae.